This 442-nucleotide ribosomal RNA is filed under the name uncultured bacterium. Its description in RNAcentral is "partial 16S ribosomal RNA". It matches the Rfam family "Bacterial small subunit ribosomal RNA", at positions 338 to 795 of the family's 1533-position model. The record is from RNAcentral.
CCUACGGGUGGCAGCAGUAGGGAAUUUUUCACAAUGGGCGAAAGCCUGAUGGAGCAACGCCGCGUGCAGGAUGAAGGCCUUCGGGUUGUAAACUGCUUUUAUAAGCGAGAAAUAUGAUGGUAACUUAUGAAUAAGGAUCGGCUAACUACGUGCCAGCAGCCGCGGUCAUACGUAGGAUCCGAGCAUUAUCCGGAGUGACUGGGUGUAAAGAGUUGCGUAGGUGGCAUAAUAAGUAGCUAGUGAAAUCUGGUGGCUCAACCAUUCAGACUAUUAGCUAAACUGUUAAGCUCGAGACCGUUAGGGGUAACUGGAAUUUCUAGUGUAGGAGUGAAAUCCAUAGAUAUUAGAAGGAACACCAAUAGCGUAGGCAGGUUGCUGGGACGGUUCUGACACUAAGGCACGAAAGCGUAGGGAGCAAACGGGAUUAGAUACCCGUGUAGUC